Patella vulgata (common limpet) is the source of this 611-nucleotide long non-coding RNA. RefSeq lists it as uncharacterized. NCBI's taxonomy places the organism in Eukaryota, Metazoa, Mollusca, Gastropoda, Patellidae. The transcript has 5 exons. The record is from RefSeq and is a predicted model, not a curated record.
GGCAGUGUUUUCUAAGGAUUUUCGAUGAAAAUUUGUAUAUUGUGGACUCAAUCCUAUUACAAAUUUCUGUAUUUUCGUGUAUAAGGCACCAACUGAGUUAAUGAAGAGGGGCAUACACCAUGCAAGAGACAUACAUGCCAUGCCAUGCCAAAUGCCAAACCAAAUACCAUGCCAUACCAUACCAUAUAUACCAUACCGGUUAAAUUGUAUUGACAGUCACCAUUUAAUUUCGCCAUCUGGAGAACUGGAUACUUUAACGAGUUUCAACAAGUAAAAUGGAGUGUACAGAGGCAUCGAUUAUUAUUUGUGAAUGCAGAUGCAACAGUCUGAUUGGAUGAUUGGAAUUCAGGACGACAUAAAGUAGAAUUUCAGUCGCAAAACAAUUGAAGUUGCAUUACUCACAGGCCAGAAUAGCAGACUGCAUUUGCAGCGGUUAAAUUUUCUAAAUUUUCUCGGGAAGGGUGAGGCCCUCAUAACCCAAGACAAUUGACUGGAUGUUUGGGAUUCAGGCAUGGUAUGAAUUUAAAUUCUGAUGCUGAAAAAAUGGAGACAACUGCUGACAGGAUUUAAACGGAUGUUUUAUAUGCACAGUAUUCAGACAGAGACUCAGA